This 510-nucleotide ribosomal RNA is filed under the name uncultured bacterium. RNAcentral describes it as "bacterial SSU rRNA". It matches the Rfam family "Bacterial small subunit ribosomal RNA", at positions 32 to 519 of the family's 1533-position model. The record is from RNAcentral.
GACGAAACGCUGGCGGCGUGGAUUAGGCAUGCAAGUCGGACGGUAGGGCUUUAUCGUAAGAUAGAGUUUGAGAGUGGCGAACGGGUGAGUAACACGUAGGAAUCUACCCUUAAGACGGGGACAACCCAGGGAAACUUGGGCUAAUACCGGAUGAGAGUGCGAGAGAUUGCAUUUAAAAGGAUGGCGAAAGUUGUCGCUUAGGGAUGAGCCUGCGGUCUAUUAGUUAGUUGGUGAGGUAAGAGCUCACCAAGGCGAUGAUAGAUAGGCGGCCUUAACGGGUGGUCGCCCACACUGGGAUUGAGAUACGGCCCAGACUCCUACGGGAGGCAGCAGUCGAGAAUAGUCUACAAUGGCCGGAAGGCUGAUAGUGCGACGCCGCGUGAACGAGGGGAGCCCUUCGGGGUGGUAAGUUCUUUUCUUAUACGAGCAGUGCUAUAUAUAUGGAUAGUAUAUAUAGAGGGAUAGUAGUAUAGGAAUAAGCAACGGCUAACUCCGUGCCACGCAGCCGAC